RNAcentral lists this ribosomal RNA (946 nucleotides) under human gut metagenome. RNAcentral describes it as "bacterial SSU rRNA". It matches the Rfam family "Bacterial small subunit ribosomal RNA", at positions 43 to 995 of the family's 1533-position model. The record is from RNAcentral.
CGUGCUUAACACAUGCAAGUCGAACGGGAUCCCAGGAGCUUGCUCCUGGGUGAGAGUGGCGAACGGGUGAGUAAUGCGUGACCGACCUGCCCCAUACACCGGAAUAGCUCCUGGAAACGGGUGGUAAUGCCGGAUGCUCCAGUUGGAUGCAUGUCCUUCUGGGAAAGAUUCAUCGGUAUGGGAUGGGGUCGCGUCCUAUCAGCUUGAUGGCGGGGUAACGGCCCACCAAGGCUUCGACGGGUAGCCGGCCUGAGAGGGCGACCGGCCACAUUGGGACUGAGAUACGGCCCAGACUCCUACGGGAGGCAGCAGUGGGGAAUAUUGCACAAUGGGCGCAAGCCUGAUGCAGCGACGCCGCGUGCGGGAUGACGGCCUUCGGGUUGUAAACCGCUUUUGACUGGGAGCAAGCCCUUCGGGGUGAGUGUACCUUUCGAAUAAGCACCGGCUAACUACGUGCCAGCAGCCGCGGUAAUACGUAGGGUGCAAGCGUUAUCCGGAAUUAUUGGGCGUAAAGGGCUCGUAGGCGGUUCGUCGCGUCCGGUGUGAAAGUCCAUCGCUUAACGGUGGAUCCGCGCCGGGUACGGGCGGGCUUGAGUGCGGUAGGGGAGACUGGAAUUCCCGGUGUAACGGUGGAAUGUGUAGAUAUCGGGAAGAACACCAAUGGCGAAGGCAGGUCUCUGGGCCGUCACUGACGCUGAGGAGCGAAAGCGUGGGGAGCGAACAGGAUUAGAUACCCUGGUAGUCCACGCCGUAAACGGUGGAUGCUGGAUGUGGGGACCAUUCCACGGUCUCCGUGUCGGAGCCAACGCGUUAAGCAUCCCGCCUGGGGAGUACGGCCGCAAGGCUAAAACUCAAAGAAAUUGACGGGGGCCCGCACAAGCGGCGGAGCAUGCGGAUUAAUUCGAUGCAACGCGAAGAACCUUACCUGGGCUUGACAUGUUCCCGA